Molecule: unclassified non-coding RNA, 1447 nt
Filed under: Acanthaster planci (crown-of-thorns starfish)
Lineage: Eukaryota; Metazoa; Echinodermata; Asteroidea; Valvatida; Acanthasteridae
Description: 2-aminoethylphosphonate--pyruvate transaminase-like, transcript variant X3
Source: RNAcentral
GUAGGUAGGUUACAGGUGCCAUGCCGGCGCGCGGCGAUGAACUGUCAUUCAAAGCGAGACCAGCUGUAGGCGAAGUCGGAAGUAAAAAAAAUAUUCAGAAAUGGACUUCAGAGAGUCUUCAUAAAGCUAGGGAGGUGUCAUCCUUCGUUUCACUCAGUCCAAACACUUCAACUUUAUAAUUUCAUCGUGACUGCCUGUUUUACAUUGUUGCCGUCAUGCGAGAGAAGAAGCUGUUCACGCCAGGCCCCCUGGGAGUCAGUCUGAGCACCAAGCAAGCCAUGCUGGUGGACCUGGGCUCCCGGGAUUUGGAGUUCAUGGAGGUGGUGAAGUCGAUCCGGUCGCGACUGGUUGAGUUAGCCGGUGUCUCUUCUGAUGACUACACCUGUGUUCCCGUACAAGGUAGCGGCACAUUUGCCAUAGAGGCAGUUCUGUCUUCUACAAUCCCAAGAAUGAAUGCAAAGGUCCUUCUGCUGGAGAAUGGUGCCUACGGUCGACGCAUGGGCCAGAUCCUCAAGGUGCUGGGCGUGGACUACAAGAUCUUGACCUUCCUGGAGAGCGAGAAGGUAGACGGUCAUUCCGUGGAAGAGGUCUUGCGAGGGCAGCCCUGGACCAAUGUGGCCGUGGUACACUGCGAGACCAGCUCGGGGGUCAUCAACCCCAUCGGAGAGAUCGGACAACUGGUGAAGGAAUACGCGCCAGAUGCCAGCUACUUCGUUGAUGCCAUGAGCAGCUUCGGCGCAGAGGACAUCAACAUCAAAGCCAGCAAUAUUGACUUCCUGGUCAGCUCGGCCAACAAGUGCCUGGAGGGCGUGCCGGGGUUCUCCUACGCCAUCUGCAAAAAGGACAAGCUGGUCAAGUGCAAAGGCUGGUCGAGGAGUCUCUCUCUGGACUUGGUGAGUCAGUGGGAGACACUGGAGCAAACCGGUCAGUUCCGGUUCACUCCGCCCACCCACGCCAUGCUAGCCUUCAAACAGGCACUGACCGAGUUGGAAGAGGAGGGCGGUGUGGCUCAACGAAGAACAAGAUACAAGGAGAACAAUCGCAUCAUCUGUGAAGGAAUGAAGGCUCUUGGCUUCAAGACACUGUUGGAUAACACCCACGAAGGCUUCAUCAUAACAUCAUUCCACUACCCGCAACAUCCAAAUUUCAACUUCAAAGAUUUCUACACAAGACUGCAAGAGAAAGCAGGGGUUUUAGGAGCAGUUUGCAAUGAGAUGCCAUCUUGAAUCUGCAAGCACGAUGACCUAGUGAGUGGCAGACACAGGGAACUCAAGGCCGUGUUCUUGGACCCUGCGGAGUUUCCAAUUUCCACAGGCAGUCAAAUCCAAGCCACGCUGGACUUCUUUUCAGUCACAAGAUAGAGAUGGAUCAGGUGAUCUACCCGGGCAAAGUGACCAAGACAGACUGCUUCCGUAUCGGCAACAUCGGGCACGUCUUUCCUCGGGAC